This 388-nucleotide long non-coding RNA is filed under the name Chrysemys picta bellii (western painted turtle). Its description in RNAcentral is "lncRNA (ENSCPBG00000004384.1)". The record is from RNAcentral. Lineage: Eukaryota; Metazoa; Chordata; Testudines; Emydidae.
GGGGGGGGGCUGUUGCAGGCGAUCGGAUUGUAACCGGGGUGGGGGCGCGAUCUGGUCCCUCCAAGGUCCUGCACGGGAACAUCAGCUGCUGGGGCGAUCGGGUGCUGGAGGCUCGGCAGGAGGCAGAGCUCUUCCAGAGGGAGACGCUAUACGGACCCCUGGGGACCCCGCCCUGCAGCCUCCUGUGGGAGGAGAGAGUGCGUGACCAGACGGAGAAGCUCUUGUGUCAGGAGUCGGGGGCCUCAGGGCCAAGGGGGCGACUCCCCCCCAGGCUGCGGCGGGCCGGGCAGCUGUUCUGGGCCCUGGCCAAGGGCCUGUUCCUGGCCCUGCUGGGCCCCCUGGUGCUGGGCCCCCUCCGCGCCCUGCUGUCGUGCCUGCCCCCCGUCUG